Carassius auratus (goldfish) is the source of this 2355-nucleotide long non-coding RNA. RefSeq lists it as uncharacterized. The transcript has 2 exons. NCBI's taxonomy places the organism in Eukaryota, Metazoa, Chordata, Actinopteri, Cypriniformes, Cyprinidae. The record is from RefSeq and is a predicted model, not a curated record.
CUGUCUGGAUGGGAAUUUCCUGGCUAGACCACACAAGACUUUUGGCAAUAAAAUAUUUUACGUUGUGUAUGAAGCUCAUUGACUCAGUGAGUCAAAGAGGUUUCCAUAUCUGUCUGGCUGAAUGAACUUCCUGUGUGAGCUACCCUGAGCAACACAAGCAGCGUUGUGAGCCACACCCAGACUCAUGAGUAAAAAGAGUUUCACUCUGUAACGUUACUGUCAACCGAUUACCAUCUUCCUGACUACGCCUCAGAGACCAAAAGCUCGGUCGGUACACAACCAAACAGUACGGGAACGUUCUGGUAAAGUUCAGAAAAAACGAGCAUGUGAAUUUGGAGUUUCAUGUGAAGUGAGAAUUGUGUCGGAUUAAGAGUGUUUACUUGUGCGUGGUAUUGUUAGGCUGAGAGAGAUUGUGCGAGAUCACAGGCGGAACUCACUGGCCUAGUUCACUGCAUCUGUCAUAAUCUGGUUCGACUUUGUGACAGGCCAGCCAAAAAAAAACAACCCCACUAAAACUGAAAAGCUAAGUCUGCUACCUUAAAUUUCUCGUCACUACUGAUGGAGAAUUUCAAGAUGAAAAUUUGGAAACAUUAAAUUGGGCAGAAAUUACACAUUUAGCAUUUCAUGAUGUUAAGAUUAAAACGAGAGAACAUAAGCAAGCCAAUGGGGUAAGAAGACUUCUUUUUUCAGAUAACAAGACUUAAGAUCAUGCCAAAAUUCUCUUCACAAAUGCUUCUUGAUUUAAGGAUGUUUAGAUAUUUAUACUGGGAAAACAAGACAAAAAUACUGAGUAAGACAAUCACCUUUUGUAGGUUUUUUUUUUACUAGCCAUUAAUAUCCCCUGAUGACAGUUUUUGUAAUAUUUACCAUAUUUUUAUAACUUAACAUUUUUUUUUACUUUUUCAUUGACAUUUAUAGGACCAUUUAAAUCAAGGAUUCCGGAACCCCUUUUAGCCUAAAAUAUUUUCUUCAAGAAAAUAUUUAAAUAAUUUAAACUUUAAUACAUAUGUUCACAAUACUCUGAUAUCAGUUAGUGGUCACAUGACAUGGAGGUAAACAUUUUUUAAAUUUAUAAAAAAUAAUAAUAAUAAUUGUAUUAAUCUUUUCAACAUGCCCCAGUAAAAAAAAAAACUCUGAUAUAAAGUAUUUAAAAAGUACUUAAAAAAAGAAUGUUGAAAGAAUUCUGAAAAAUAACCCCCCCCCCCAAAAAAAAAGGCUUCUACCAAAACCUACAUUUUUCUCAUGAUCACGAUGCCCAUUCCAUAAUUGCUUUAAUAUGAAACUCUUUCUGUAAGCUCCUCUGUCUCAUGGUUCUGAGCCUUGCCCUCUUCUCCUCAGCCAAACUCACGACUGUAUUUACAACCUCUGACUGGCACAAGGAUUAACGUGGGAAGAACACGCAGAACUGUGUGAGAACCCAUCUGCUCCCCGGGUGAACAAUUCCUACAUCCUGCAGGUCCUUUACUUUUACUCAUGAUAUAAAGCCACACUGCUUUCCUCUUCAACUAUGCCUCUAUACAUCUCUUUGUAUCCUUGGUUAACCCCUCCCCCUGAUGCAUGUCUACACUCUGUGGCGUAGGCAUCUGCCCUCAACAUCUGUCACCACCCGUCACUGUGAUAUUAUCCAUCCAGACCGGCUGAACACCCAGCCCCCUCUGUACAGAUACAGAGAGUGAGCCACAGACACUGACUAGUCACUGUAUGACAAAAACACCCAAUGACUGGACUAAAAGAUUUUUCUUUAAGGGACAGAGAUGCACUUUGAAGACAAGACAGGAAAAGUAUAUAUGAAUACCCUGCGUGUUUGAUUGAGGGUGACAUUGAGGGUUCACAGCAGCUGUUUGACACACACCUCUCCAGCUGUUACUAGGUCAGCCAGGAUUGUCAAAUCUGCUUUGGUUGCGAGUACAGAAGUGCUAAAGGUUGUCAGGACAGCUGUCGUGAAAACAGGAUGUCUUUGCGUCAGCAGGCGGGACAGGUGUGCGAAACAAGCACCAUCUGAAAAAUCAUUCGGCUGUUAGGGAAUUUACAGUUUGGGCCUUCUGCUGCAUGUUAUUCAGAUAUAUGCCUGGAAAAUACUCACUUUAAAACAAUUAUCUUUAUGAUGUUCUGGAAUUUCCCCCAAAAUGACAACAGAACAACAUUACUAUAUGUUUUCUCUCUGUAUAUUUUUUAUUUACAAUACUUUUUUCUUUAAUGCCAGGUAAAAGGAUUAAAUGCAAUACAUAAAUAUGAACAUAGUAAGGAGGUUUUUUUCCACACGAAUUUGCAUAUAACUAAAGGCUGAAAUCAAACAGAUACAUACUCUCAACAGAUACAUUUUUCUUUUUUUUUUUUAAGGAAACCUCACUCCCU